Molecule: unclassified non-coding RNA, 24 nt
Filed under: Severe acute respiratory syndrome coronavirus 2
Lineage: Riboviria; Orthornavirae; Pisuviricota; Pisoniviricetes; Nidovirales; Coronaviridae
Description: RNA (5'-R(P*UP*UP*AP*AP*GP*UP*UP*AP*U)-3') from Severe acute respiratory syndrome coronavirus 2 (PDB 7AAP, chain P)
Source: RNAcentral
CAGUGCUAUGUGAGAUUAAGUUAU